Non-coding RNA from Vicugna pacos (alpaca), 1091 nucleotides. NCBI's taxonomy places the organism in Eukaryota, Metazoa, Chordata, Mammalia, Artiodactyla, Camelidae. The record is from RefSeq and is a predicted model, not a curated record.
CAGCCGAUUCACCUCAAAAAGUCGGGCAGCCACCCAGAGGGACCCGCGAAUGGGAAGUUCCCAACCCCGGGGCACCCACUCCCAUCACUACCACUGAUCCAAACGCAGAGUCUGCAGGCGACUCCACACGGGCCCUGUAAGCCCCAAGCACUUCCCACCCGGAGCGCGCCUGCAGUUCCUGGGCGCAGCGCCGCCCCGGAGCAAGGGCCCUGGGUGCGCUCUUGCCUGCAGCUGUCGCGGGGCGCCUUGCACCGCGGCAGGGCAAAGGGGAGGGGGAGUGACAAAGAAGAAGGCGGAGCAGGCGGUCUGGGAAGCACUUACAUUCGUUGGGAAAGCGCCUCCUCUCGAGAAAGAGAAGCAACGGCUUCCCGGCUAAGGAAACGCCCCAGGGAUGCCCCUCCGCGAAGUGCCGCCUUUUCCCGGCCUCUCGAUUCUCCCGCCUCCAGUCCGUCCUCCACCCCACGUCUAAGACUGGAUUCUAGACACCCUCCCUGCGGCUUUCCGAGGGACCUAGACACUGUCUCCGCUGCCGGCAGCUCAAGCAACAGGCGGAUCCUUAGGGCUUCAGCGACGACGGGCGCGGGGGACCAGAGGAUGGGGAAAGCCGGAGACUAGGCGCCCAGCAGGAUGCAGAGUCUCCUGCGGGUGUAGAUCUGCAGGGUCGUGCACCCGUGGGCUGGGCCGCAGAGGGACUGGGCAGCAAAAGCCUGCCCCUCUCUUUUGGAAGAGGAUCUAAAGCAUUUGUCUACACUGCUGUUAGCAAGCGCCUGAUAAAGAGGGUGAUCAUGUGGAGCAAAUGAAAUAAUAAACACGAAAGCACUUCGUGGACCAUAAAAUAUAUGUCUGUUCCCUGAAAGCUUACCAAGGUUAAGCCAAGCCAAGUGGUGAAUGCACUCCUACACACACACACACACACACACACACACACACACACACACACACACACGCAUACACACACAGCCACACCCUCGCCUCUGUGUCUAGAAUCCUCUCCUCUGACCUCAGUCUCCAUUACCACAAUGCAUGCUGGGAUCUCUCUGACUGCCUCCUUCCUCCCACCCCAUCAAAAUGUCUUUACACCCCAUGAUAGG